Molecule: long non-coding RNA, 109 nt
Organism: Haliotis rubra (blacklip abalone)
Lineage: Eukaryota; Metazoa; Mollusca; Gastropoda; Lepetellida; Haliotidae
Exons: 3
Source: RefSeq, a predicted model, not a curated record
CAGUACAAGAGUCUGCAACCUUUACCAAGAAAGUGUAAUCCCAAAUAUAACAUAUGCUAAAACUGAAUAUGUCUGGAGCUUGCACACUUACAUGUUUUUGGCACUGUUA